Molecule: long non-coding RNA, 953 nt
Organism: Triticum dicoccoides
Lineage: Eukaryota; Viridiplantae; Streptophyta; Magnoliopsida; Poales; Poaceae
Exons: 4
Source: RefSeq, a predicted model, not a curated record
GAGUGCACAAGGACUCUCACGGUUACAAAGGAUACGAAGCAGCCAAUUUAUGCCUACUACCAACUUGACAACUUUUAUCAGAAUCAUAGGAGUUCAUGCCCCGGUCAAAUCUAGAGCUAUGCAUGCCUAUGUCAUCUCUCACAGAUCACUGUUCUUUUCAUUCCUCCAAUUGAAACCAUGGCUGCCAGUAUUGAGGGUCAGGAUUCUGUACUAGACGUGAUGAGAUAAAAUGAGGUCUGAAUUUUUUAGCCAUGCUUUCUUAGCUCAUGAAGGCAGGAGCAUAUGUGAUUUUUCUGUACCACCUUCCCGCGGCUCUGAGGAUUUUGUCUGCUCGCUGCCUCUCCGCUAUUUAUUUGUUGUGUCUACUGCAUUGUUUGUUCUGCCACCCUUUUCCUCAGUUGCUAGCGGGGGGCCUUGGCUUAUCGUAUUGUUUGUUGCCUUCCUCUCAUAGAUUCGUUGGUAUUAUAAACCAUUUUUGUUGUAGUAAUAACUACAAUGUCAAAUAAAUUUACAUUUCACCUUGCUUCCACUAUUAUUCAAGUUUUUUCCUGCUUAUUGGUCGUACUAGCAAGAUGGUUUUUGUUUUUUUACCGUGUCUAACAUAGUGUAUUUCUACGAUUUUUCUCUGUUAAAACGUAUCCACUUCCAUGCUCUUUUCUCUAUUUUAGUACACAAUAGUAUGGCUGCAUACUACCAAUUGCAGAAAUUAUUCAUUUGCCACUAAAAUAUAUAUUUUCCUAUUCACAAAUUAAAUAAAAACAAAGAUGAAGUUGGUCCCCGGAUGCCUAAUAUGUUCUUUCAUAUCCUGGUCAGUUUACCAGGUAACAGAAUUAAUACUUCUUGUUGGUUCAAUAGUCAAUACCAGUGUUGUGAGAAAAUUCCUUACGGUUGUUGUAUUUUGGUAGCUUCUUCUUUUGCAAGUGGCAAAUUACUGUUAUGUAUAUGUGGAAUCC